RNAcentral lists this ribosomal RNA (253 nucleotides) under uncultured bacterium. Its description in RNAcentral is "partial 16S ribosomal RNA". It matches the Rfam family "Bacterial small subunit ribosomal RNA", at positions 524 to 776 of the family's 1533-position model. The record is from RNAcentral.
UACAGAGGCCCCAAGCGUUACUGAGAAUCACUGGGUUUAAAGGGUGCGUAGGUGGUCCGUUAAGUCCGUUGUGAAAGCCCUGGGCUCAACCCAGGAACUGCUUCGGAUACUGGCGGACUUGAGGCUAGUAGAGGUCACUGGAACUGACGGUGGAGCGGUGAAAUGCGUAGAUAUCGAGAGGAACACCUGCGGCGAAGGCGGGUAGCUGGGCCGACACUGACGCUGAGGCGCGAAAGCCAGGGGAGCGAACGGG